Molecule: non-coding RNA, 85 nt
Organism: Felis catus (domestic cat)
Lineage: Eukaryota; Metazoa; Chordata; Mammalia; Carnivora; Felidae
Source: Rfam
GCCUGGGUGGCUCAGUCGGUUAAGCGUCUGACUCCGGCUCAGGUCGUGAUCUCGUGGUCUGUGAGUUCGAGCCCCGCAUCGGGCU